Molecule: ribosomal RNA, 522 nt
Filed under: uncultured archaeon
Lineage: Archaea
Description: bacterial SSU rRNA
Rfam family: Archaeal small subunit ribosomal RNA
Source: RNAcentral
ACGGGGUGCAGCAGGCGCGAAAACUUCACACUGUGCGAAAGCACGAUGAGGGAAUCCCAAGUGCUGGCUCGUAAGAGUCAGCUGUUUCUCUGUCUAAAAAACAGAGAGAGUAAGAGCUGGGUAAGACGGGUGCCAGCCGCCGCGGUAAUACCUGCAGCUCGAGUGGUGGUCGCUAUUAUUGGGCCUAAAACGUCCGUAGCCGGUUUAGUAAAUGCCUGGGUAAAUCGUGUAGCUUAACUAUACGAAUUCCGGGUAGACUGCUAAACUUGAGACCGGGAGAGGCUAGAGGUACUCCUGGGGUAGAGGUGAAAUUCUGUAAUCCUAGGGGGACCACCAGUGGCGAAGGCGUCUAGCUAGAACGGGUCUGACGGUAAGGGACGAAGCCCUGGGGCGCAAACCGGAUUAGAUACCCGGGUAGUCCAGGGUGUAAACGCUGCUCGCUUGAUGUUAGUUGGGCUCCGAGCCCAAUUAGUGUCGGAGAGAAGUUGUUAAGCGAGCUGCCUGGGAAGUACGUCGCAAGAC